RNAcentral lists this ribosomal RNA (468 nucleotides) under uncultured bacterium. Its description in RNAcentral is "partial 16S ribosomal RNA". It matches the Rfam family "Bacterial small subunit ribosomal RNA", at positions 28 to 507 of the family's 1533-position model. The record is from RNAcentral.
GACGAACGCUGGCGGCGUGCUUAACACAUGCAAGUCGAACGGAAAGGCCCUGCUUUUGUGUGGUGCUCGAUUGGCGAACGGGUGAGUAACACGUGAGUAACCUGCCCUUGUCUUUGGGAUAACUUCAGGAAACUGGGGCUAAUACCGGAUAGAAGCUCCUGCUGCAUGGGGUGGGUUGGUAAGUUUCGGCUGUUGGGGAUGGUCUGGCGGGUUAUCAGCUUGUUGGUGGGGUAGUGGCUUACCAAGGCUUUGACGGGUAGCCGGCCUGAGAGCGGGGACGGCGACAAUGGGACUGAGAUACGGCGCAGUAGCCAACGGGCGGCAACAGGGGGGAACAUUGCACAAUGGGCGGAAGUGUGAUGCGACAACGCCGCGUGCGUGAUGACGGGUUUCGGGUUGUAAACAGCUGUCGACUGUAACGAAGAGUGAGUGACGGUAAUGGGUAAAGAAGCACCGGCUAACUACGUG